This is a long non-coding RNA of Panicum virgatum (switchgrass), 3190 nucleotides long. RefSeq lists it as uncharacterized. NCBI's taxonomy places the organism in Eukaryota, Viridiplantae, Streptophyta, Magnoliopsida, Poales, Poaceae. The record is from RefSeq and is a predicted model, not a curated record. The transcript is spliced from 3 exons.
UGUCCAGCGUCUCCCACCCGGGCACCCGGCCACCCCUAACCUCUGCGCAUCUUAUCCAGUCGCGUUCUGGAGCCGCCCUAGAGGAAGUCCCGCCGCUCUACUCGCGGACAGCAGGCACAGCCGUCCCAGAGCUCCUCCCGCCGGUCUUCUCGUCAUCGCCGUCUCAGAUCUCCUCCGCCUCUCCCAUCGCCUCUGGCCGAGCUCUGCUGAUGGCGCGUGGCUCUACUCCCGCCAGGCUGGGGAGGGAAGGAAGGACAAGCCACGACCCUGAAAUGGAUCCCAGGCGUGGAGAGAUGGAGGCAUCUUCUUGACUCUUGGAGGUAAUGGUUUAGGAUUAGGAGACACAGGCCAUGCAGACUCAUGCUCCACUCGUUGCAGGACAUGCUGGGCAGCACAAGCAUGUCGACAUGGGAUACCUGACAAUUGCCAAUAUCUGCAGGAGCAUGUCUUCUGUCCUAGAUCAACUGUGAACCUCCAUUUUUUGUCCCUCACUUCAAAACCAGCAGCACCAUUCCAUAAGACAUGGCAAUACUGAGUUGCAUGCCUUAUCUUAUUUACCUUCCUGAGAAUGUUGGGGCAUAUAGCCAUUGUCCAUCUCUCACCAUUACUCUUGUUCUCUUGGAUCCUUCUAGUCACCAUGGUACGUAUGUCCUCUAACAUAGCUAUGAUAGGUUUAAAUCUUGCGUCUAUGAUCCAGCUGUUGAAUGAUUCACUGACAUUGUUAUCAACUGACUCACAAUUGGACCCAUCCUUGAACCAAGCCCGACACCAAUGAACUGGAUCUUGUUUUUCCAAUGCUUCCCAUCCUUUAGGUGUUUUGGCUGCCAGCUUAUUCUUGUAAUGAUUGAACAUCAUCUCAUUACUUGCCUUUGCAAUCUUCCAAAACCUCUUUUGGUACUCCUGGAGCCUAUGUUUUUUUCUCCAAUUUGCAUAAAUGUGCCGUGCACACAUUUGAUGCUCUGCCAUUGGAAAGUAUUGUUCAAUUGCCUUCAACAAACCCUUCUGUUUGUCUGUAAUGAAUACCCAUCCAUCGGCACCAUAUGGGAUAUUCAAAUAUUUUUGUAGGUGACUAAGAAACCAUUUCCAUGAGCUUAAAUUCUCAUAUUCCUCAAUAGCCCAAGCUAUAGGAUAAAUCUGAUUGUUUGCAUCUUUUCCAAUAGCUGACAAUAGCUCUCCCUUCAUAGGACCCUUUAGAAAGCAACCAUCAAGCCUUAUCACCCUCCUGCAUCCAUCUAAGAAACCCCGUCGACAGGCAUCAAGGCAAAUAUACAUUCUGUGAAAGACAUGUUCCUCUUCUUCAGGAUCCAGGGCAAUGUGCACACUACUUCCAGGAUUACUACGCUUUAGCUCAAGAGCGUAGUCAAACAGCCUAGAAUACUCACCACUCCGAGCAUCCAUUACCUUCCUGAUAACCUUCACUUUUGCUCUUUUCACCAUUGUCAUAGAAACCUCCACACCCAUGUCUUCUUGUAUAGUCUCCUUCAUUGCUCUAGCCUUCCAUCCUGGGUUAGCCUUGAUAGUGCUCUCAUAUUGGUCACAUAUUCUAGCUAUUGAUAACCUCUUGUUUUUCAAGACUGGGCAACAUGCAUGGGUGGGAUUGUAUGUGACAAUCUGAAACCAGUCACUUUUGGAGUUGUAUGAAACAUGCAAUACCCAAGGACAACCUUUCCAUGAGCAAACUGCCCUCAACCUCUGCUUGUCAUUCUUGGGAAACCUAAUAUUCACCUUCUUUUUCAGAGCAUACCUUUCUAUUGCAUCCUUCAAUUGCUUUUUGCCUCUAAAGCACAUGUCUAAGGCAAACUGAGGUGUAUCUGCAUGGCUAUCAAAUAUAGGGAACCUGCACUUCCUUCUCUUAGCAUCUGUGUCACUGUCAUCAUCAUAAGAUACAUCUUCAUCUGAGUCAAAAUAUGCAAUGCCAUCUCCAAAAUCAUUCUCCCGAGUGAUACUUUCCCUGUUACUGUCAUUCCCUGUUGGAGGAUCCAUUGAGGUUGGGAUAUCCAAUGGUAUGCCUUCUCUCUUUUUCCUUUUAGACAUAUAUGCUUUGUAGUUAGUCCUUAUCUCCUUAGCUUCAUCAUCCUCAUCAGAUGUAAAUCCUGUGACAUCAUAUUCAGUAUCUGCCUCUUCUUCUUCUUCAACUUGUGCACCAUUUUGUGCAUCCUCUUGUGUGGUUGGAUCAUCCAAAUUCAACAUGUUUUCCUCUUCUGCAGUUUGGUCAAACCCAGCUCGCAGUAGCUGCGGGCCGGCGCCCAGGCGAGGGGUUGGGGUGGGUGGCAGGUCAAACAAGGGGCAUGCUAGUCUUUUUCUGCGGUCUGUCGCCCCUAAACUGACGGCGUGAACGGAAAAACGGGUGGGAGGACGUAACUGAGUCGAAAUUCAGGAGUUUAGGGACUAAUUUGGUCUGUGGGAGAGUACAGGGACCAAGUUGACCCUUUGCAAAGAGUUGAGGGACGACUUUGCCUAUUUUGCCGGUAAAAAAGUAGUAUACCAACUACACACUACCAAUGAAAGAUGAUACUCCUUUCCAAGGACACAAAAUUAAGAUAUUAUUAGCAAAGUUGUUCCAUUUUAAUUUGUUAGUGGAAUGCCGACGUGCUAAUUGGACAAAAUGUGCAUGGUGCUACCUACCACGCUCCGCAUCAUUCCUCCAGGAAAACCAUUUCGUUCAGAGCUGUUUCCCUUGAAUGGGAAGCCAAUCGGGGUUAACUUUAAGCAAGUUGGCGCCCUCUAAUAACAACAAAGGGAAAUCCCACCACAAACGUACCAAGUUGUUCGCGGCAGUCCUUUUUAGCGAAUCACGAGUUUGUCAGAACUCGCUUGACCAGCAUCAGGAGGGCCUCCAUAGUCCAGACACACUUGGUACUAAUGACAAACUCGCUGAUGAAAGCGAGCCCCCUACUUCCCUUUCAAAUGUUCCAUCAUAGAUGUAAGGAACAUGGCCCCAUUAGGCCAUUGUUUUGUCAUUUCGGUGAUUGAGUAACAACGCAAUCAAUGGGACUAAUGAGUUUGGCAAGUGAACAAUUAUAGAUCACAGGAAUGAAGCAAAAAGGCCAAGCAAAGCAAAACACGAAAAAAGAACUCAAAGAAAGAUUGAAAUGGAUGAGUUCUGCAGAAACCAGUGGCACCGGAUGAUCCGAUACAGAGGCACCGGUCUAUCCGGUUGGCACCGGAUAAACCGACGCAUAGGCGUCGG